AAUCCAGGCUCUUGUAAAAUGAGACUAGCAGAGCCAUUCCCAAGUUCUCAGGAUGGGGAGAUGGUAGUCAGAGUUAAAAUAUCACCCAAAUAGUUUAAAAACUCAAGAGAAGGGCUUAAGAGAUAAGACAUUUUUUAUGAUCCCAAUACAACUGCAUCUAACAGAUACUGCAUCUUUUCUCUGGAAGAGAACAUUAUAGAGCUGAAACCCUUGCCUUUUAACCUGUCUUUGUAAUGAAGGCAAGAAUGAAGUUGUGGAUUUGUAGGAGUCCUUUUUUCCUAUGGUGCCCAGUAUGUUUUCCCACCCACUGCAGUACAGCAAUUAGGGUUGUUCUUGAGCUCUUAAAGACCCAGUGGACUUGAACGGGAGCAUUUCUUCCAGAAAGGGCCUGUCCUGCUUACUGUCAUUUCAGGAAAAAUGCAGAGAAAUCAGCACUACCUCCUAAGCCUGCCUUCCUAAUGGCUUUCCCUGAUGAAAUAGGAGCUUGUGGUGAACAUUGAGUGGGGCUGCAGAGCCCUCUUGUGGAUUUUCGCUUAAUCACAUUCUUUUUAGCAGCUCUGAAUCUGAUGGGCCCCUGAGGUUAGCUCUGAUUUCAAAUAAACCAUUUAGGGGUGGCAUUUUGAAGGCUCCUUUUAGGCCAUAGAAGUGGGGGGAGAAAAGAGGGACCCUGCACUCACAACCUGAAGGAUCUGUGUUCAGUUCACCUUGGUGGUCCCUCCUGCUGGCAGAGUGGUUGGUGCCCAGCAGGUACGAGCAGAAUGUUAAGAAAUAAACCAGAGAAUAAAUCCAAUCAGUGAGUGAAAGCAGAGUUCCUCCUAAAGCAGCCGAAAUACAUCCAGAGAGUCACAGGUAUUGGCAGACUGUGUCCGAAGACACCCAGAAUAAGGGGGAGAAAUGGGAGUUAAAAGUGGCAAAAUCUAGAAAGUCAUGUUUAUAGGGAUGAGGCAUCAAAAACAACUAGAGGCCUUCUUGGGACAAAGGCUACGUUAGCAGAGAAUAGACCAAAUCCUAAGCACUCAGGGAGUUACACCCCUAUAAGCACCACACUGUGAAGCCUCCCCAGGUUUGUCAGAGGAGCAAAGAAGCAGCUGUGGUAGAGUUAGAGAAAACAGUUUCCGGCUUAAUUUGCAUCCCAGGCAUCUUCCUGUCCCCUCCAUCCACAGAUAGAACUUAACCACUGUCUUUCUCUUACGUUUUCUUUUAUAAAAGCCGUUACCUCUCUCAUCUUUUCUAUUCCCAGGGUGAAAAUAUAGGAGAUUACGAUCCAUUCCUGGGUGGACGGCCAGCGUUCCAUCUUCACUAACACGAUAUAGUUGAAGAGCAUCAGGUAUCCGAUAUACGCCAGCUGUAAGGAGACACAAUACAGUGCUCUGGCUGUUCAGGCCCAGGAGCCCCAGCAUCAGCCAAGGCCACUGCACAGCAGCACAGAGCAGGGUCAGCAAGCAGGACACAGACUUUAUGACAAAAGGAACUUGAAGGUGCUAAACUAACAAAAGAAUUAGAAAAGACAGUAAUACUUGAAGGAUUAUAAUAUGCAAUCUUCCUUUUGACCUGUACAUGUAUCUCUGGGGCUCUGGUGCUUCGUUUAAAUCUAUGUGUCAUGAUGCAUCAUUUCGCCUUGCAGUUACCCAUUUUUGUGUGUUUUCUUGGCUAAAAAGGGAGCCUUGGCUGUCAGUGGCGGCUCUUGCUCAGGCGUGGACCUUAGGUUCUUAAACUAGGGCAGCACAGUGGAUUUUUGCCUCACGAAUGCCAGGCAGAAUAAGUGUCUGUGAGAAGCAAAGGAAGAGGAAGACACAUGUAACACCUGUAAAUUGGUCAAACCAACAUAAAAAUAGCCCAGGCUUAAAGUGCUUCGCUUGUCAGUGCCCUGGGAGGGUCUUACCUGUUUUCAUUUCACCACUUUCCUGUCCUAAUCAAGUUAAGAUAAGAUAUUCCUUCCUGGUGUCUGCUUCAUUGAAACAACACAAGAAAAGACAACACAGUUUACAGAAAGGAAAGGGUCCGUGUGGCCUUUUGUGGACGGGUGUGGGGUUUAAUCCCCAAGAGGCUCUGGCUCGUGGGGUUGAAUCCUGAUGUGACUGGCUGAAUUGCUGGAUGUCUGGGAAGAACUCCCUAGGGUUUGGUGACUGCUCCUGGAAGAUUCAGUUGUGUCAAGGGUCUCACUCUCGUCACCCAGGCUGGAGUGCAGUGGCAUUGUGAUCUCGGCUCAUUGUAGCAUUGACUUCCUGGGCUCAGCCACUUCACACCUUGAAUUUGAAUCCUCUCCAGAUGGAUACCUGAAAUAGGCUCUCAAAACAAGCAGGGUCUAGGAGCCAGUUGGACCCCUGCCUCCUUUCUUCUUGGACCAGAAGAGGACCCAAUCUGCUCCUAGAGAAACUUGCUACGAUGCAGAAGUGAGGUUAUAUGGAAAUGAAGUGUGUCCUACCUUUCAGAAACUUGGGAGAGUAGGAGAGACCAUUUUUGAAAAUCUGGUGAGAAAUACUCUUACAGAGAAAAACACAGCCCAAAGCACAUGGGACCUUCAAUCUGAAAUUGAAUUGUACUGUUAAGCAUGUCUGGUGAUUCAAAAGACUGGCAUACCUUAUUUCCAGUCACUUCCUCGAGGCCUGGGCUUUGUCAAUAUGUGAAGAUGAAUUUUGGAGAAUCAUGUAAACACAAUUGAACAGAUCUGGGGGAUCCAGUCUGAUGGGUUUGCUGAGGCCAAUCCAGUCAGCCACGCAGAAGUGUGCUGGACACACAGGCCCCACCACCCCCCGCCAAAGAGGCAGCCUCCCAACAAGCUGCCAAUGACAUAAGCAAAGCAGCGUGUCUCAAGUGUCUCCAAUCAUAAGAUUCGCCUGGGAAGCUGGUUAAACUAACACAGCCUCUUAGGCUCCUUCCUGAAGACUGGAUUCCAUGGGUCUAUGAUGGGGCUAGAAAUUUGCAUUUCUAACAAAACUCCCUUGUCAUCAUGGACGUUUUAGAGAUAUUGAUACUAUUAUUUCUACUGAUUUCUGCUCUCGGGAGUCUGUAAACUUUUUCUGCAAAUGGCCAACUGGUUAACUUUUAAGGCUUUGUAGAACCGAUAGUCUCUCUCUGUCUCUCACUACUCAUCAACUUGAUGUGGUAGCACAAAAGCAGUCAGUCAGCCUAUUGCUAAUGGUAAAUGAGAUUUAGCCUAAAGCUGCCUCCUUAAGUUCGGCCUGAAGUUUUCUCUGUACAUUGUGAACUAUAACAAAUGAAGGUGUAACAAGACCAAUCACCGAGUUUCGGUCAAUCAAAUGUAGCCAACUGCUCAAACUGUGUUCAAAUAAGGCAAACGCUGAGCUGUAACCAAUCCAGCUGUUUCUGUACCUCACUUCCGUUUUCUGUAUGCCACUUCCCUUUUUCUGUCCAUAAAUCUUCCACCACGUGGCCCUGCCAGAGUCUCUGAGCCUACUCUGGCUUGGAAGACUGCCCAAUUCACGAAUCGUUCAUUUGCUCAAUUAAACUCCUUUAAAUUUAUUCGGCUCAAGUUUUUCUUUUAACAGAAAUCAAGAGUCUGCCUGUGUUCCAAUUAUUUAUGGACACUAAAAUUUGAAUAUGUGUUUCAAGUAUUCCUUUUCAAAUUUUAUUAAAAAUGUAAAAACCAUUCUCAGUUCGCAGGCCACAAUCACAGGCCAUGGGUUGAAUUUGGCUCAAAAGCUGUAGUUUGCCAAGCCCUGUUCUAAGCUAACAGUUGGGGAAUCAUAAUAUAAAAGGAAGGACAGACCUGGGUGUGAAAUAGCUGCAAAAAUAUUAUCUCGGGCUGGGCGCAGUGGUUAUUGCCUGUAAUCCCAGCACUUUGGUAGGCUGAGGCAGGCCCAUAGCUUGAGGCCAGCAGUUCAAGACCAGCCUGGCCAACGUGGCAAAACCCCAUCUCUACUAAAAAUACAAAAAUUAAUUAGCCAGGUGUGGUGGUGAACACCUGUAAUCCCAGCUACUCGGGAGGCUGAGACAUGAGACUCACUUGAAUCCAGGAGAUGGAGGUUGCAGUGAGCCAAGAUUGUACCACUGCACUCCAGCCUAGGUGACAGAGUAAGAGUUUGUCUCCUAAAUAAAUAAAUAUUAUCUUGAUAAAAUAGUUGUUAGGAUUACAAAGAGUACUUAAAUAAUAGUACCUAGAACAUUGCCUCAAACUUAGUAGGUGCUCAAUAAAAGAAAGAUAUUAUUUUUGUUGAGUGGAUGUAUGAACACAACACUGAUUAUCUAUUGCUGGGCAACGUGAAUAGCCUAGAAGAAACAAUAGUCACAGUUACAUUGUACUUAUAUGUCAAGGAACUGUUCUAAGUGCUUUACAUGUUUUAACACAUUUAAUCUUGAUUAAAUCCUAUAAAAUCGGAACUACUAUUAUUGGCAUCUUAAGAAAACUGUGGACAGAAGGGGAAAUUAAGUUGUUUGAGGGCACAUGGUAAGAGGUGCAGAUGGGAUUCCCAC
Molecule: long non-coding RNA, 4434 nt
Filed under: Homo sapiens (human)
Lineage: Eukaryota; Metazoa; Chordata; Mammalia; Primates; Hominidae
Description: HSALNT0352710
Source: RNAcentral